Molecule: long non-coding RNA, 336 nt
Filed under: Linum usitatissimum (flax)
Lineage: Eukaryota; Viridiplantae; Streptophyta; Magnoliopsida; Malpighiales; Linaceae
Description: long non-coding RNA (LUSI_LNC001148)
Source: RNAcentral
CCAUGCUCUCUUCAUCAUACCUACUACUUGAUGCCUUUCUCCCCAUGGUUUCCCUUGCAUUCUCAUUCUUGCGGCUGUCUCUUUGUUUCUUUCUCAUUUCUUUCUCCAUUUUUUUCCUAGUAUUCCUUGUCAGUUGGCUGAGCAGGUCAUCUGAUAGUGGUGUAAAUGGAGAAGAGGCCAUCUUAGCUCUUGCAACAUCUUCGUCUUCCUUUUGCUGCUUUAGAAGAGCUUCAUAAGCCUUGAUGAUAGACCAAUAAGCUGUUCCUGCAGGGUUUAUGUAAACAGCAUCUAGAUAGUCUCUGUUCCUCCUGGGCCUGUAAUCGAUUGUCCAGCCAG